CCCACGGCUUGCGCCGUGGGCUACCAUCUUUCGCCCCUCCGGGGCU
Molecule: small RNA, 46 nt
Organism: Planctomycetaceae bacterium SCGC AG-212-F19
Lineage: Bacteria; Pseudomonadati; Planctomycetota; Planctomycetia; Planctomycetales; Planctomycetaceae
Rfam family: Acido-Lenti-1 RNA
Source: Rfam